RNAcentral lists this ribosomal RNA (374 nucleotides) under uncultured organism. RNAcentral describes it as "partial 16S ribosomal RNA". It matches the Rfam family "Bacterial small subunit ribosomal RNA", at positions 527 to 896 of the family's 1533-position model. The record is from RNAcentral.
GUAGGUGGCAAGCGUUGUCCGGAAUUAUUGGGCGUAAAGCGCGCGCAGGCGGUUCUUUAAGUCUGAUGUGAAAGCCCACGGCUCAACCGUGGAGGGUCAUUGGAAACUGGAGAACUUGAGUACAGAAGAGGAAAGCGGAAUUCCACGUGUAGCGGUGAAAUGCGUAGAGAUGUGGAGGAACACCGGUGGCGAAGGCGGCUUUCUGGUCUGUAACUGACGCUGAGGCGCGAAAGCGUGGGGAGCAAACAGGGAUUAGAUACCCUGGUAGUCCACGCCGUAAACGAUGAGUGCUAAGUGUUAGGGGGUUUCCCGCCCCCUUAGUGCUGCAGCUAACGCAUUAAGCACUCCGCCUGGGGAGUACGGCCGCAAGGCUG